This 1305-nucleotide ribosomal RNA is filed under the name Triticum aestivum (bread wheat). Its description in RNAcentral is "partial small subunit ribosomal RNA". Lineage: Eukaryota; Viridiplantae; Streptophyta; Magnoliopsida; Poales; Poaceae. The record is from RNAcentral.
AUGGCGUGCAGAGCUCUCGCCGUCCUCGUGUUUGCAGUGCUCAUCGUCCCGUUCCCGCCGAUAACUUCCGCAAACGACAAUCAUGGCUUCCGGGGCUCCCUCACUCGCAUGCGCCAACACUUCAGCAACUACUCCGCCGCGGUACACCGCGACACGCACCGCCUGGCUUUCCUAGCGCGCGCUCCAACGACGAACACGACGACCACCCUUGCACUCCAGGCGCUGGUCGAGAACGGCGCCGGAGCGUACCACAUGAGCGUGUCCAUCGGCACGCCGCCGCUCACCUUCCCUGCCAUCCUCGACACCGGCAGCGACCUGGUCUGGACGCAGUGCGCGCCGUGCACCGAGUGCUUCGCGCAGCCGACGCCGCUGUACGACCCGGCAGGCUCCUCCACCUUCUCCAAGCUCCCGUGCGCGAGCCCGCUCUGCCAGUCCAUGCCGAGCCCCUUCCGCGCCUGCAACGCCAGCGGCUGUGUCUACGACUACCGCUACGUCGUCGGUUUCACCGCCGGCUGCCUCGCCACCGAGACGCUCACCGUCGGCGACGCCACGUUCCGCGAGGUCACGUUCGGGUGCAGCACGGCGAACGGCGGGCACAUGGACAACGCGUCGGGCAUCGUGGGGCUCGGGCGCAGCCCGCUGUCCCUCGUGUCGCAGCUCGGCAUCGGCCGGUUCUCCUACUGCCUCCGCUCCGACUCGGAGGCCGGCGCCAGCCCGAUACUGUUCGGCUCCCUGGCCAGCGUGACAGGCGACGACGUCCAGUCCACGCCGUUCGUCCGGAACCCCGCGGUGCCGGUGCGACGCGCCCCGUACUACUACGUGAACCUCACCGGCGUCACGGUCGGCGCGGCAGACCUCCCGGUCGCGCCCAGCACGUUCGGCUUCACGCGCGCCGGCGCGGGUGGCGUGAUCGUCGACUCCGGCACGACCUUCACGUACUUUGCCGAGGCGGGGUACGCGAUGCUGAGGCAGGCGUUCCUCUCGCAGACAGCUGGGCGGCUGACGAGAGUGAGCGGCGCCCCGUUCGACUUCGACCUGUGCUUCGAGGCAGGCGGCGACCUCGACGUCGACGCCGUGCCAGUGCCAGACCUGGUGCUCCGUUUUGCGGGCGGCGCGGAGUACGCCGUCCCGCGGCGAAGCUACUUCGACGCCGUGGACGAGCAAGGCCGUGUGGCGUGCUUGCUGGUGCUGCCGACGAGGGGCGUGUCCGUCAUAGGCAACGUGAAGCAGAUGGACCUGCACGUGCUCUACGAUCUCGACGGCGGGGUGCUAUCCUUCACCCCGGCUGAUUGCGCUAGUGUUUGA